Molecule: long non-coding RNA, 1214 nt
Filed under: Homo sapiens (human)
Lineage: Eukaryota; Metazoa; Chordata; Mammalia; Primates; Hominidae
Description: HSALNT0258645
Source: RNAcentral
GGAUACAAAGUAUUAUUAAAUGUAUAUUUUUAAUAAAGCCAAUAGUUAUUUUACUUAUAGGAGCUUUAAAAGAUACAAAAUGUAGAGUUCCAGUUUGCGCUUUGGCGAGACCCCUCUGCCAAGCGCAGCACCUGGAAUUACCAGUGUUCAGAGCAAGGCGGUGGAGAUUAGUGUGCACACCGUGACAGCUAACACAGACAAGAGCCACGCAGGGUUGGUGCAAAGCACGUGCCUGAAAAUGUCUAUAUACAAAACAGUUCUUUGUAAACAUGGUGAGGUGAAUGCUCAGAACCACGGCAAAAGAUCAUAAAUACAGGCAGCAAUGCAUCCCCACACAGCACAAAAGACAACACCUGAGGCCUGGGAAGAGCCUGACAACACAGUACUAAAAACUCAGGUGGCUGGGCUCAUAUCUGUAGAAAAACGAGAACAUAAAUGUGUUAUUACAAUCUUUGCUGGAAAAGCUUAUAUGGAGUUAGAAAGAAUAAACCAUUUAUUAGUAGUUAACAUAUAUUAAAAUGGUUUAAUGAUUUAAGAAAAUAUAAAAAAAAUAUUAAUACUGUCAAACUUUCAUACCAGAAAAUAUUAUGGAUUUUUCUCAGACUUUUUCAAAGAUGAAAUAUGAAAAAUUUAAAUAAGUUUUAUAUAAAGAACUUUCUGUAACCUCAAUUAAUAUACAGUGGGAUAUGUCUAUUCUAUAUAGAUAUAUUUAUUAUUAUUUCUCAAUUUAAGCACCAUUCAAUUCUUCUGGAUCCAUUCUGGCUGGAAAAUAUCCCUAAAUCCACAGGAUGUUAUCUAUUUAAUGGCACAUGUUAACUGAAAAUGAGGUGGUCAGUACUGGGGCAGAUAGGCUGGCCUGCGCUCACCCUUCCCAGGGAAGGCCUUGAAGCCCUUGGGUGCUGCCUUGUGUGCCUGCAGUCGUUGGUUGCGGCCCACACUGGGGACUGCAGCAUCUGCAUGGUGUCGUUCCACUGGCUGCCAGGGCUGGUGACUGCAUAGAGUGGUGCGCUGGGGCUGGGCAGCGUGCUGGGAAGCGGGGAAGGGUGCUGCCAGGGUGCUUUGGGUGGCCACGUUUUGGUUUUGUUAUCCUGAGAAACAAAAGAGAGAAUACCUGGUUCACAUCCUCCACCGUGGUGAGGAGAGGUGGUGAGGGCAGCGUGCUGGUGUCUUGCUCUCCACUGCUGUGUUUCCUGCAAGAACCAAGAGCUCAGGGC